Molecule: transfer RNA, 73 nt
Filed under: Mustela putorius furo (domestic ferret)
Lineage: Eukaryota; Metazoa; Chordata; Mammalia; Carnivora; Mustelidae
Rfam family: tRNA
About the family: Transfer RNA (tRNA) molecules are approximately 80 nucleotides in length.
Source: Rfam by way of RNAcentral
ACCUGGAUGGCUCAGUCAGUAGAGCAUGUGACUUUCAAUCUCAGGUUCAUGAGUUCAAGUCCCACAUUGGGUA